This 103-nucleotide small nuclear RNA is filed under the name Monodon monoceros (narwhal). The record is from RNAcentral. Lineage: Eukaryota; Metazoa; Chordata; Mammalia; Artiodactyla; Monodontidae.
GUGCUCACUUCAGCAGCACAUAUACAAAAAUUGGAACUAUACAGAGAUUAGCAAGGCCCCGUGCAAGGGUGACACACAAAUUUAUGAAGCAUUCCAUGUUUGU